AUCCUCCAAGGCUAAAUACUACUGACUGACCGAUAGUGAACUAGUACCGUGAGGGAAAGGCGAAAAGAACCCCGGAGAGGGGAGUGAAAUAGAUCCUGAAACCGUAUGCGUACAAGCAGUGGGAGCCCACUUUGUUGGGUGACUGCGUACCUUUUGUAUAAUGGGUCAGCGACUUAUUUUCAGUGGCGAGCUUAACCGAAUAGGGGAGGCGUAGCGAAAGCGAGUCUUAAUAGGGCGUCUAGUCGCUGGGAAUAGACCCGAAAC
RNAcentral lists this ribosomal RNA (264 nucleotides) under Pseudomonas azerbaijanorientalis. RNAcentral's name for it is "partial 23S ribosomal RNA". It matches the Rfam family "Bacterial large subunit ribosomal RNA", at positions 455 to 721 of the family's 2925-position model. RNAcentral also lists the same sequence under 4 other names. The record is from RNAcentral. Lineage: Bacteria; Pseudomonadati; Pseudomonadota; Gammaproteobacteria; Pseudomonadales; Pseudomonadaceae.